UAUAUUUUAAGAAAAAAUUAAGUUUAAAGAAAAGGAUCGACUCCUAGGGUCGAUCCCUGUCAAAAGAGACUGAACGACACGCUAUUUUUGGCUGGCACACCCAAAGAAGACAACCCUAGGGGUCGACCUCUGUUGUCCGUGCAAGCCAAAGAUACAGAACAGUGACUUUCUAUUCUACGCCACAGAGAUCGACCCUAUAAAGAUACAGAAUAGUGACUUUCUGUUCUAUGCCACAGAGAUUGACUCAUAGGGUCGACCACUGUGCAGGAGACGACCCUAUGAGUCAACCCCUACGAUGAAAAAUUUUUGUAAUGACUAGUUUUUCAACUCAUUUUGGCUGUAUUUAUUGUUCAUUUAAUGCACUCUAAUGGCUCUAAUCCUGUCCAGAUUACUCUCCACCAUCUAUUGAUGAUAAAAAGGCAUUAAAAGGAGGGAAAAAUAAGAGAUUGAAGCAUUCAUUUUUAGCCCUAAGCAAAAAGUCCUCUUCAAGUUAAAGAAGCUUUCAUUUCAAGUUCACCAACCCCUCAAGAGCUCAUUCAAGUUUUCAACAACCUUAAGAAAAAUUAGAAAAACUUCUUCCUUGUUGUGUAAAGUGUAUUUAAAGUUUUAUUUGCUCAUUAAAGGAGCUAAACUUGUAUUUCUUUGUCAUUAACUCUUAUACUCUAUUUUUGUCAUGAUCUUUAAUUUUGGAAGGAUUCCAAAAUUUGGAUAGGUUGAUCCGAACUUUGAAUCGGAUUGUAUUGGAUUGGCUUGUACCCAAAAAAUAAGUGUUCUAACUUGGGAUAGCUAGAGUCAGAGGUACCGACGUUGUAUUCUUGUUGAAUAUGUUUUAGUAGAUUUAAAUUCUUAAGUAGGAGCUUGGAG
This 864-nucleotide long non-coding RNA is filed under the name Elaeis guineensis (African oil palm). RNAcentral describes it as "long non-coding RNA (EGUI_LNC038542)". Lineage: Eukaryota; Viridiplantae; Streptophyta; Magnoliopsida; Arecales; Arecaceae. The record is from RNAcentral.